UGCGUAGGUGGGCAGGUAAGUCAGUGGUGAAAUCUCCGGGCUUAACUCGGAAACUGCCAUUGGUACUAUCUGUCUUGAAUACCGUGGAGGUCAGCGGAAUAUGUCAUGUAGCGGUGAAAUGCUUAGAUAUGACAUAGAACACCAAUUGCGAAGGCAGCUGGCUACACGAAUAUUGACACUGAUGCACGAAAGCGUGGGGAUCAAACA
This 207-nucleotide ribosomal RNA is filed under the name uncultured bacterium. Its description in RNAcentral is "partial 16S ribosomal RNA". It matches the Rfam family "Bacterial small subunit ribosomal RNA", at positions 568 to 774 of the family's 1533-position model. The record is from RNAcentral.